CGUGCAUUUGUGUUGUCCGGUGUUUGAAGACGCUUUGGAAUUCGCUUUCAAUUUCUUUGUAGGAAAAAUGUCGGGUGAUACCGAUAAAGCGAAAAUCAGUGACAAUCAGGAUGAAGACAAGAAGUCUGCAACUGGUGACGGUCAAACAACAGAAGACGAGUCCUCACAAGACUCAAAGGGUGAGUCUCUGCAACAGCCAGAGGCCCAAGGUAACACCGAUGUAGAUCAACCAAAUACAAAAGAUGAAGACACCCAACCAGAUGCAGAAGGGGACUCAAAGUCGGCAACUGCUAACGGUAAGGACGACGCAGGGGCCGACGAAUCCAAGGACGACAAACGGGAUGUAAAAGCAGAUGGUGACUCUAAAAAGGAGGAAAAUGGUGAAACACACGAUGACGACGAUAAGGAUGAUGUGAAGGAGAACGACAAAGGAGCAAAAAAAUUGACCGCAAAGAAGAAGCCUAAGAAAGAGGAUACUGAGGAGGAGGAAGAAGAGGAUGAGGAAGAAGACGAAGAGGAGGAGGAAGGAGAGGAGGGGGACGAGGAAGACGAUGCGGAGGAUGACAAGAAAUCAAAGCCUAAAGAUAAAGUGAAAAAACCAGCAAAGAAAGCUAAGGAUGAGGACGAGGAAGGCGACGAAGAAGGAGACGAGGAGGGCGAAGAAGAAGAGGAGGAAGAGGAGGAGGAGGAGGCGCCCAAACCAAAACCCAAAAAAGAGCCACAAGAACCUCCCGUCCCCCUCCCAGCCGGCAAGGGCAUCCCCCUCGGUCACAUUAGCAAUGUGGAAGUCUCACUGUCACGGUUCAAGACUCAGGAUCAGAAAUUAUUGCACCAGUAUUUGUAUGGCCAAUUAUGUUUAGAUCGUAAUGUGAAACGUAAUAUCAAGAAAUUCAAAGGCUACGAAUGGGCAAUCGGCUCGACGGAGUACAAAGCGAAGCUGGACGAGACCACCAAGAUGGAGAUGAAGCAACUGCGCACCAUGUGCGAGAUGCUCGACCUUGAUAAGAAAGGUGGGGCCAGCGAGUUAGCGGGGCGAAUAGUAGCAUUCCUGCAACAGCCGGCCGCCAACUCUCCGCACGCUCGCGGCGUGGCCCGCCCGCCGCCCGCCGCCGCCCCCGCCUCCACACCCGGCGGUCGCCCGAGACGAUCCGCCGCUGUCAAGGUGCACAAUAGAGGUUACUCGGAUGAGGAGUAUGAAACUGAUCCAGAAACAAAAGUCAAAGGUCCAAAACCACUAAAGGAUGGAUCAGAAGACUCAGAUGGUUCAUUCAACCCCAGCGGUUCGGAAGAGGGUGACUCCGAUUUCGAUCCAGAAGCGGGAGAGAGUGCGAGUGGAGUCGGGCGCAAGCGUAAGAGUAGCGGACGCCGCCGGUCUUCUGGCAAACCUGGCAAGCGCGGACGCAAACCCAAGGGCAAGAAGGGCAAGGUAUCAGCUGUUAAAGGCCGCGGAAGACGACCCAAAUCAGAGAGUGAUGAAGAAAGUGAAAAGUCAGAGAGUGAGAGCGAACAGGAAUCUGGAAGCGAAGGAGAAGAAUCUGACGAGCCGAAGUCGAAGCGAGGCCGGCCGCCGGUGGCGGCGAAGGGACGCAAGGGUGCAGUGGCAUCCAAAGCCAGCGCCAACGCCAAGGCCACGCCGGUCAAGCGGAAAGCACCUACGCCGCCUGCAAAGAAAAAGCCAGCAGCGAAACCUGCCGGUCGACCAGCCAAAAAGGGUAAGAAAGCGUCAUCAGAAGAGGAAUCGGGCAGUGAAGAAGAGGAGGAGGAUGGAAGCGAGGAGGAGAGUGGCGAGGAAUCAGAUUCACCUUCUGAUAAGAAAGCAAAACGGCCGCCUACUGAUGAUGAAAUAAAGAAAUACGUGAAGCAAAUCCUCGAGGGCGCUAACCUGGAACAGAUCACAAUGAAGACGGUGUGCAAGCAAGUGUACAGCCACUAUCCGGACUUCGAUCUCGCACACAAAAAGGACUUCAUUAAGGCCACAGUCAAGUCGUGUAUUUAAGAUGUUAGGAGUUAAGGGUGGAGUGUAGAUGUCUGCAUAGUAUACCUAUAGUUUAUAUAAGGACAUAGUUAUAUAUUAUUACAAUAAUAAUAUAUUAUGAAAAAGUAAAUAACUGAAAUGCAAUGAAUGGAUAAUACAACUUUUUAUUUUAAGCUCAUAUCAUCGUGAGCAGUGACCAGUCGGCCGCAAAACAUAAAUAGUCAAGUAAGAUACGCAACUUAAACAUUUAGACUAAUACCCGACGCCGCGUCUGUGGCUACUCAUUUCUGUACCUUCAAUUGUUAUGCCAGUAAUAGUUACCGGUAAGAAUCACGAGUGUUGGUUGACUAAACAGCACAGAUGAGAUUUUGUAUGAAAUAAGGCUUCUGCACAAGUGCUCAAGAUUACUACCGGAGACUAUUGAUCUACUGGAUGAAAAAGCAGACAUUGAAAUACCUAUUUAGUGUAUUAAAUAAGCAUUGUGUUCAAGUAUUAUGUAAGCAGUUUUUAAUCAAAUUUAAACGUUGUUAUGUUGUUAAACGGUUUUAAAUUAAAAAACAUAUAUACUGUUACAUGUGUAAUAGUUUUUUUCUAAGUUUAAUAAAAGAAUAACUUUCGAUUUUAAAGUUGAUAAAGAAAAUUACGGCGACUUAUGUAAUGCUUGAAUGCACCCCUUUCAAUUAUAAUUAAUCACAGACGUCACAAUGAAGGAUCUGAAUUUUAAUUCGGUUAGAGACAUUUGACAAUUUUGUACGUAGUCGGCCACGGCGCGGUUUGGACUAUGUAAUUUUAUGUUGUAGGAAUAAUUCCCUCUAGUGUAAGUAUAAUCCGAGUUAAAUAACUCUAGAGCUUGUAAGGAGUUUUAUGUUCAUUGUGCCUGUAUCGGGGACUAUAAAGUGAUAUGCUAUCACGUUUCUUUAUAUUUUGUUGAGUUUGAAAUGUAACCCGUGCGCUGAGUGCCUUUCUACCAAAACUAUGAAUUGUUAUAUAUUUUUUAAACUUUUAUUUUCAUUUCUAGACAGACAGACAGUGUCGGGACCACAUUUUGUUGACUUAGCAUUCAGAGCACGGCUCACUUCGACGGCUCAAACUAAAGUACACGUUAUUUUUUAUGUAAAUUUCCAUUGUACAAAGUUCGGAUGCAUCCGUCGGUCGCGGUCGGCGUUUGUCGUAGAUUGACGGAGAUUGUUUUAAAAAUUCGGAAUGUAAGUUUAUUUUUAAUAUGAACCUAGGUUGUAAAAGUGUUCUUUUAACGCCUGGCACUAUCGCAAAAUUAAGCUAUUCAUAUUAAGAUCGUGUAAGUGUAUCUUAAGAGGUGUAAAUAAAUACACAGGACUUACAAUGUUUGGGGCUAUGUUCGUAUUGGUUGCGCGAGACGUGUUUUAGUAAAUACGGGAGAUUACGUGCCAGUAUCUUCCAUAUAUUUUUAUAUUUUGGCGUGAAAUUAUCGCGGACAAGACAACGGUCAAGUUUUCGAUGUUCCACAUAUAAGUUUAGGACUUGUCAUGUAAUGUGACAUGUAAUAAUUUCGAAAUAUAUUUUAAUUUCUAUACUUUUGUCGUUUCUCAUAGAAAUGAUUUUUAAUUUAAUUAAAUAAUUAUCGUAUUAGUUUUAUUGUGUUUGUCUUCAACGAUAUUGUAAUGUUAGGUUUGUAAUUGUUAUUUUUCAUUGAGAGGCAAUUUAUACAGAUCUAGAAUUGCAGUAUAAUAUAUGUAAGCGUUUUAAUAUUUGAAAACUUGCCGUCUGUUUUUCGCUAAAGUCCAACUUUAAAUAAAGUACUAGUUGUUAUGACUGGCAUCAGAUUAUUUUCAUUUCAUAAAACUGAUUGACAACGUAUUUAUAAUAUAGUGUAAUAAGAUUUGUUUAAAACACUUGGGAAUUUACUUGUAAUGAAAUAAUAUUGAAUAACCAUAUCAAUAUUUUUGUGGUCGUUUCUAUUCUGUUUCUUACAAUAUACUUAUAGUCUGGAUCAGCAUUGAGCCGUUUCAUUUACGUUAGGUGCUUUUACAGCAUUUCAAUUUGUAAUUUGUGGCCGAAAUAGUCGCUAAGUCCGAGGUGGAGCUACACUAGGAUAGUCGGAUUGAGCGAGCCGAGACAUGAACAAUGCGUUGUUUAAUACUGACGUUAUUUUGUCUAUAUUCGAUAUUUCACUAUUAUGCAACGCAUUAGAGGCACCCCUAUUUAAUAUAUAGGGCUGUCUAUUUAUAACGUUUUUUUAUUUACGUUAAUGUCCUAAUACAAUCUCUCGGUGCGCGCAAUCCUUUUAUUAUAAGCUAGAUAUAAUCAACAUUAAAUGUGUAUUUGUGAAUUUUUAACCUUAUUUCGGUUGAUGUUUCUUUAUAAAUGUGUAAAUGGUUGAGAUCAGUAGUGGCGUAGUGACACGGAGUGAUAGAGUGACUGGUACCCUCUUUUACAAUUGGAAUAUAGAUAAUAAAGUAAAUAAAAGUUUGA
This is an RNA transcript of Achroia grisella, 4426 nucleotides long. It is a transcript of the gene named protein DEK, with no coding region annotated. The transcript has 17 exons. Lineage: Eukaryota; Metazoa; Arthropoda; Insecta; Lepidoptera; Pyralidae. The record is from RefSeq and is a predicted model, not a curated record.